ACAGCAGUCGCCACGGUAAUACAGAGGGUGCAAGCGUUAAUCGGAAUUACUGGGCGUAAAGCGCGCGUAGGUGGUUUGUUAAGUUGGAUGUGAAAUCCCCGGGCUCAACCUGGGAACUGCAUCCAAAACUGGCAAGCUAGAGUAUGGUAGAGGGUGGUGGAAUUUCCUGUGUAGCGGUGAAAUGCGUAGAUAUAGGAAGGAACACCAGUGGCGAAGGCGACCACCUGGACUGAUACUGACACUGAGGUGCGAAAGCGUGGGGAGCAAACAGGAUUAGAGACCCCCGUAGUCCCUGUCUCUUAUAC
This 305-nucleotide ribosomal RNA is filed under the name uncultured bacterium. Its description in RNAcentral is "partial 16S ribosomal RNA". It matches the Rfam family "Bacterial small subunit ribosomal RNA", at positions 505 to 807 of the family's 1533-position model. The record is from RNAcentral.